This 466-nucleotide ribosomal RNA is filed under the name uncultured bacterium. Its description in RNAcentral is "bacterial SSU rRNA". It matches the Rfam family "Bacterial small subunit ribosomal RNA", at positions 19 to 518 of the family's 1533-position model. The record is from RNAcentral.
CUGGCUCAGGAUUAACGCUGGCGGCGUGCCUAAUACAUGCAAGUCGAAUGGUAGCAAUACCAUGGCGAACGGGUGAGUAACACGUAGGUAACCUGUCUUUAAGACGAGGAUAACCGUUGGAAACGACGGAUAAUACUCGAUAGGUGAUUUGAGGGCAUCCUUGGAUCAUUAAAGAUUUAUCACUUAGAGAGGGGCCUGCGGCGCAUUAGCUAGAUGGCGGUGUAAUGGACCACCGUGGCGAUGAUGCGUAGCCGGACUGAGAGGUUGAACGGCCACAAUGGAACUGAGAACGGUCCAUACUCCUACGGGAGGCAGCAGUAGGGAAUUUUCGGCAAUGGGCGAAAAAGCCUGACCGAGCAACGCCGCGUGAACGAAGAAGUAUUUCGGUAUGUAAAGUUCUUUUAUCGGGGAAGAAAAUGACGGUACCUGACUAAGAAGCCCCGGCUAACUACGUGCCAGCAGCAGC